Molecule: ribosomal RNA, 537 nt
Filed under: uncultured bacterium
Lineage: Bacteria
Description: bacterial SSU rRNA
Rfam family: Bacterial small subunit ribosomal RNA
Source: RNAcentral
GAGUUUGAUCCUGGCUCAGAUUGAACGCUGGCGGCAGGCCUAACACAUGCAAGUCGAACGGUAAUAGGAAGAAGCUUGCUUCUUUGCUGACGAGUGGCGGACGGGUGAGUAAUGUCUGGGAAACUGCCUGAUGGAGGGGGAUAACUACUGGAAACGGUAGCUAAUACCGCAUAGCGUCGCAAGACCAAAGAGGGGGACCUUCGGGCCUCUUGCCAUCGGAUGUGCCCAGAUGGGAUUAGCUAGUAGGUGGGGUAACGGCUCACCUAGGCGACGAUCCCUAGCUGGUCUGAGAGGAUGACCAGCCACACUGGAACUGAGACACGGUCCAGACUCCUACGGGAGGCAGCAGUGGGGAAUAUUGCACAAUGGGCGCAAGCCUGAUGCAGCCAUGCCGCGUGUAUGAAGAAGGCCUUCGGGUUGUAAAGUACUUUCAGCGGGGAGGAAGGGAGUAAAGUUAAUACCUUUGCUCAUUGACGUUACCCGCAGAAGAAGCACCGGCUAACUCCGUGCCAGCAGCCGCGGCAAUACGGAGGGUGC